Molecule: ribosomal RNA, 1358 nt
Filed under: uncultured bacterium
Lineage: Bacteria
Description: bacterial SSU rRNA
Rfam family: Bacterial small subunit ribosomal RNA
Source: RNAcentral
GAUGAACGCUGGCUACAGGCUUAACACAUGCAAGUCGAGGGGAAACGACGGGGAAGCUUGCUUCCCCGGGCGUCGACCGGCGCACGGGUGAGUAACGCGUAUCCAACCUGCCUCUGACUGAGGGAUAACCCGUCGAAAGUCGGCCUAAUACCUCAUGGCAUCGUCUGCGGGCAUCCAACGACGAUUAAAGAUUUCAUCGGUCAGGGAUGGGGAUGCGUCUGAUUAGCUUGUUGGCGGGGUAACGGCCCACCAAGGCUACGAUCAGUAGGGGUUCUGAGAGGAAGGUCCCCCACAUUGGAACUGAGACACGGUCCAAACUCCUACGGGAGGCAGCAGUGAGGAAUAUUGGUCAAUGGGCGGGAGCCUGAACCAGCCAAGUAGCGUGCAGGAAGACGGCCCUAUGGGUUGUNAACUGCUUUUAUGCGGGGAUAAAGUGAGGGACGUGUCCUUCAUUGCANGUACCGCAUGAAUAAGGACCGGCUAAUUCCGUGCCAGCAGCCGCGGUAAAUACGAAGGUCCUGGNCGUAUCCGGAUUUUGGGUUAAAGGGAGCGUAAGCCGUGGAUUAGCGUGUUGUGAAAUGCAGGUGCUCAACGUCUGCACUGCAGCGCGAACUGGUCCACUAGAGUGUGCGCAACGCAGGCGGAAUUCGUCGUGUAGCGGUGAAAUGCUUAGAUAUGACGAAGAACUCCGAUUGCGAAGGCAGCCUGCGGGAGCACAACUGACGCUGAAGCUCGAAAGUGCGGGUAUCGAACAGGAUUAGAUACCCUGGUAGUCCGCACGGUAAACGAUGGAUGCCCGUUGUCAGGCUGUUUCAGCCUGGUGACCAAGCGAAAGCAUUAAGCAUCCCACCUGGGGAGUACGCCGGCAACGGUGAAACUCAAAGGAAUUGACGGGGGCCCGCACAAGCGGAGGAACAUGUGGUUUAAUUCGAUGAUACGCGAGGAACCUUACCCGGGCUUGAAUUGCAGACGAACGAUUCAGAGAUGAUGAGGCCUUUCGGGGCGUCUGUGAAGGUGCUGCAUGGUUGUCGUCAGCUCGUGCCGUGAGGUGUCGGCUUAAGUGCCAUAACGAGCGCAACCCCUUUCUUCAGUUGCCAUCAGGUGAUGCUGGGCACUCUGUAGACACUGCCACCGCAAGGUGUGAGGAAGGUGGGGAUGACGUCAAAUCAGCACGGCCCUUACGUCCGGGGCUACACACGUGUUACAAUGGCCGGUACAGAGAGUUGAUUUUGUGCAAACACGAUCCAAUCCUUAAAUCCGGUCCCAGUUCGGACUGGGGUCUGCAACCCGACCCCACGAAGCUGGAUUCGCUAGUAAUCGCGCAUCAGCCAUGGCGCGGUGAAUACGUUCCCGGGCCU